UACGUAGGGGGCGAGCGUUGUCCGGAUUUAUUGGGCGUAAAGAGCUCGUAGGCGGCUUAGUAAGUCGGGUGUGAAAACUCCAGGCUCAACCUGGAGACGCCACUCGAGACUGCUAUGGCUAGAGUCCGGUAGGGGACCACGGAAUUCCUGGUGUAGCGGUGAAAUGCGCAGAUAUCAGGAAGAACACCAAUGGCGAAAGCAGCUUUCUGGGACGGUACUGACGCUGAGACGCGAAAGCGUGGGGAGCGAACAGG
RNAcentral lists this ribosomal RNA (254 nucleotides) under uncultured bacterium. Its description in RNAcentral is "partial 16S ribosomal RNA". It matches the Rfam family "Bacterial small subunit ribosomal RNA", at positions 524 to 776 of the family's 1533-position model. The record is from RNAcentral.